RNAcentral lists this ribosomal RNA (305 nucleotides) under uncultured bacterium. RNAcentral describes it as "bacterial SSU rRNA". It matches the Rfam family "Bacterial small subunit ribosomal RNA", at positions 337 to 635 of the family's 1533-position model. The record is from RNAcentral.
UCCUACGGGGGGCAGCAGUAGGGAAUUUUCGUCAAUGGGCGCAAGCCUGAACGAGCAAUGCCGCGUGAAUGAGGAAGGUCUUCGGAUCGUAAAGUUCUGUUGAAGGGGAAAAAGAGCGGAGAGAGGAAAUGGUCUCCGAUUGAUAUUACCCUUCGAGGAAGUCACGGCUAACUACGUGCCAGCAGCCGCGGUAAUACGUAGGUGGCGAGCGUUAUCCGGAAUGAUUGGGCGUAAAGGGUGCGUAGGCGGCCUGCUAAGUCUGGAGUGAAAGGUACCGGCUCAACCGGUACAGGCUCUGGAAACUG